GACGAACGCUGGCGGCGUGCCUAAUACAUGCAAGUAGAACGCUGAAGGAGGAGCUUGCUUCUCUGGAUGAGUUGCGAACGGGUGAGUAACGCGUAGGUAACCUGCCUGGUAGCGGGGGAUAACUAUUGGAAACGAUAGCUAAUACCGCAUAAUAGUAGAUGUUGCAUGACAUUUGCUUAAAAGGUGCAAUUGCAUCACUACCAGAUGGACCUGCGUUGUAUUAGCUAGUUGGUGAGGUAACGGCUCACCAAGGCGACGAUACAUAGCCGACCUGAGAGGGUGAUCGGCCACACUGGGACUGGGACACGGCCCAGACUCCUACGGGAGGCAGCAGUAGGGAAUCUUCGGCAAUGGACGGAAGUCUGACCGAGCAACGCCGCGUGAGUGAAGAAGGUUUUCGGAUCGUAAAGCUCUGUUGUAAGAGAAGAACGAGUGUGAGAGUGGAAAGUUCACACUGUGACGGUAUCUUAACAGAAAGGGACGGCUAACUACGUG
Molecule: ribosomal RNA, 495 nt
Filed under: uncultured bacterium
Lineage: Bacteria
Description: partial 16S ribosomal RNA
Rfam family: Bacterial small subunit ribosomal RNA
Source: RNAcentral